RNAcentral lists this long non-coding RNA (217 nucleotides) under Elaeis guineensis (African oil palm). Its description in RNAcentral is "long non-coding RNA (EGUI_LNC070634)". The record is from RNAcentral. Lineage: Eukaryota; Viridiplantae; Streptophyta; Magnoliopsida; Arecales; Arecaceae.
CCUCGAUCGUCCAUUCCUCGGGCGGGGCUUCAGUGGGCACUGUCGGCACUGACAGUGCGAUGAUCGGCUCUCGAUCCGACGCCCGUUCGGAGCUGGACUCCGCUCCCAUUGCCGCCGGCUUGCUCGGUGGUGCUACCUGAGGCCUCUUGGGAGGCCGAGAUGAUUCGGCUCCGUGCGCCGGUCUCUUCCGCGCCGCGUGUUGCCGAACGUCGGCUUC